UUCAAAGCCAUCAUUCGGUCGUGCCACUUGGUUAGAGCCUCUGGGGAAACGCACAUGCCGACGGCCCUCCGUCCGGGCUUCCGGGGCCCCGUGAGAAAGGGACACUCUAGUCAUCACACAGAUAAAGAGACUGAGAUCAGGGAAGCUAGGCUGCUUGCCGAAAGUCCUACAGAGUUCCUGGCUGAAAAGUCGAUGAGAAGUAAAUAAAGCUAUCAUUUACUGAGUACUUACUGUCUGGAAGAACUGUGCUAACUGCUUUAUAACAAACAAAG
Lutra lutra (Eurasian river otter) is the source of this 272-nucleotide long non-coding RNA. RefSeq lists it as uncharacterized. The transcript has 3 exons. The record is from RefSeq and is a predicted model, not a curated record. Lineage: Eukaryota; Metazoa; Chordata; Mammalia; Carnivora; Mustelidae.